Camellia sinensis is the source of this 508-nucleotide non-coding RNA. The record is from RefSeq and is a predicted model, not a curated record. Lineage: Eukaryota; Viridiplantae; Streptophyta; Magnoliopsida; Ericales; Theaceae.
AUGUUCAUACGUUAGUGCUUAAUCUGACUCUGUUCAUGCAGAUGGUGAUGGCUGUUUUCGCAUACAUCUAUCAUCAGUCAUUUGUUGCAUCACAAAGUUUAUCGGUUGAGAUGAUUUUGGACCAGAUAUUGAUGAACCUCACUUUCGAGGAGCAGUGAGCUCUGUACACGUAUGUUUGUAGCUUCUCCAGGUGAUCAUCAUUCUCAUUCACUCAAUACUAGCUUCUCAAUCUGGAAAUAAAUAAGUAAAUAAUAAUAAUGCCUAAUUUAUCAACGUUGUUAUCUACUUACAUGUAUGUUUGUAGGACUCACACAAAAAAUAUGGUGGUGUAACAGGUCAGAUAGUAGGGCAUACUUAUGAGGAAGAAAAAAAGAAGAAAAAAAAAAAAACAGUCAAUUGCUGUGUGACCAAUGGGACAAUUUGCUUUCUGUGUCUGUUUCUGUGAAUUUCUCCUGUGUUUGUAGACUGAUUCUUAUGUAAAAAUCACAAUAGUGGGAAAGCAAAAACA